This 485-nucleotide ribosomal RNA is filed under the name uncultured bacterium. Its description in RNAcentral is "partial 16S ribosomal RNA". It matches the Rfam family "Bacterial small subunit ribosomal RNA", at positions 30 to 506 of the family's 1533-position model. The record is from RNAcentral.
AUUGAACGCUGGCGGCAUGCCUUACACAUGCAAGUCGAACGGCAGCACGGGUGCUUGCACCUGGUGGCGAGUGGCGAACGGGUGAGUAAUACAUCGGAACAUGUCCUGUAGUGGGGGAUAGCCCGGCGAAAGCCGGAUUAAUACCGCAUACGAUCUACGGAUGAAAGCGGGGGACCUUCGGGCCUCGCGCUAUAGGGUUGGCCGAUGGCUGAUUAGCUAGUUGGUGGGGUAAAGGCCUACCAAGGCGACGAUCAGUAGCUGGUCUGAGAGGACGACCAGCCCCACUGGGACUGACACACGGCCCAGACUCCUACGGGAGGCAGCAGUGGGGAAUUUUGGACAAUGGGCGAAAGCCUGAUCCAGCAAUGCCGCGUGUGUGAAGAAGGCCUUCGGGUUGUAAAGCACUUUUGUCCGGAAAGAAAUCCUUGGCCCUAAUACGGUCGGGGGAUGACGGUACCGGAAGAAUAAGCACCGGCUAACUACGU